GGUUGUAGCUCAGUGGUAGAGUGCUUGCCUAGCAUGUGUGAAGCACUGGGUUCAAUUCUCAGCACCA
This 67-nucleotide transfer RNA is filed under the name Marmota monax (woodchuck). RNAcentral describes it as "tRNA.Ala". It matches the Rfam family "tRNA". From Rfam's summary of the family: Transfer RNA (tRNA) molecules are approximately 80 nucleotides in length. Lineage: Eukaryota; Metazoa; Chordata; Mammalia; Rodentia; Sciuridae. The record is from RNAcentral.